CUGAGAUCUUAUCAGCAGGAGUAGAACAAGAAUAACGUUUGGAUUGAGUGUUAAGCUCUAGGCUUCAGUGCAAACUAUCACAGACUACUGGUGUGAUCACCCUAUUACACCUGCAGAGCUGCUAGAGGUGCAGCCACCAUGGGGAUGAACUUGUCAAAUCAGAGAGAAUCAUCAUCGCCUCCCUGGUGCCUUUGUUACAUAGGAAGCAUCACCACAAAGGAAAAUGAGGAAAAAGAAGAGUGC
This 243-nucleotide long non-coding RNA is filed under the name Gallus gallus (chicken). Lineage: Eukaryota; Metazoa; Chordata; Aves; Galliformes; Phasianidae. The record is from RNAcentral.